RNAcentral lists this ribosomal RNA (253 nucleotides) under uncultured bacterium. RNAcentral describes it as "partial 16S ribosomal RNA". It matches the Rfam family "Bacterial small subunit ribosomal RNA", at positions 524 to 776 of the family's 1533-position model. The record is from RNAcentral.
UACGUAGGGUGCAAGCGUUAAUCGGAAUUACUGGGCGUAAAGCGUGCGCAGGCGGUUUCGCAAGUCAGAUGUGAAAUCCCCGGGCUUAACCUGGGAACUGCAUUUGAAACUACGAGGCUGGAGUGUGUCAGAGGGGGGUAGAAUUCCACGUGUAGCAGUGAAAUGCGUAGAUAUGUGGAGGAACACCGAUGGCGAAGGCAACCCCCUGGGCCGACACUGACGCUGAGGCACGAAAGCGUGGGGAGCAAACAGG